GGGGGUAUAGCUCAAGGGUAGAGCAUUUGACUGUAGAUCAAGAGGUCCCCAGUUCAAAUCUGGGUGCCCCUG
RNAcentral lists this transfer RNA (72 nucleotides) under Alligator mississippiensis (American alligator). Its description in RNAcentral is "tRNA-Tyr (GTA) (tRNA-Tyr-GTA-7-1)". It matches the Rfam family "tRNA". Rfam says of the family: Transfer RNA (tRNA) molecules are approximately 80 nucleotides in length. Their secondary structure includes four short double-helical elements and three loops (D, anti-codon, and T loops). The record is from Rfam by way of RNAcentral. Lineage: Eukaryota; Metazoa; Chordata; Crocodylia; Alligatoridae.